This is a non-coding RNA of Stegodyphus mimosarum, 73 nucleotides long. The record is from Rfam. Lineage: Eukaryota; Metazoa; Arthropoda; Arachnida; Araneae; Eresidae.
GCCUUCGUGGUGCAGUGGUCAGCACGCUCGACGCCUAUUCGAGAGGUCCGUGGUUCAAGUCUCGGCGAGGGCA